GACGAACGCUGGCGGCGUGCUUAACACAUGCAAGUCGAGCGGUAAGGCCCUUUCGGGGUACACGAGCGGCGAACGGGUGAGUAACACGUGGGUGACCUGCCCUCCAGCUCUGGGAUAAGCCUGGGAAACCGGGUCUAAUACUGGAUAUGACUCCAUGACGCAUGUUGUGGGGUGGAAAGCCUUGUGCGGCUGAGGAUGGGCCCGCGGCCUAUCAGCUUGUUGGUGGGGUGAUGGCUUACCAAGGCGACGACGGGUAGCCGGCCUGAGAGGGCGACCGGCCACACUGGGACUGAGACACGGCCCAGACUCCUACGGGAGGCAGCAGUGGGGAAUCUUGCGCAAUGGGCGAAAGCCUGACGCAGCGACGCCGCGUGAGGGAUGACGGCCU
This 388-nucleotide ribosomal RNA is filed under the name uncultured bacterium. RNAcentral describes it as "bacterial SSU rRNA". It matches the Rfam family "Bacterial small subunit ribosomal RNA", at positions 28 to 417 of the family's 1533-position model. The record is from RNAcentral.